RNAcentral lists this long non-coding RNA (1171 nucleotides) under Homo sapiens (human). Its description in RNAcentral is "non-protein coding lnc-LGR6-9:1". The record is from RNAcentral. Lineage: Eukaryota; Metazoa; Chordata; Mammalia; Primates; Hominidae.
AUGGCUUCGUGUGCUGAACCCUCUAAGCCCUCUGCCCCCGCCUCCUGCCAGGGUCCCACCGCUUGAGGACUUCAAGGUGCUGGAUGGGGUGGAGGAUGCAGAGGGCGAGGAGGAAGAUGACCUGAAAGAGCUGCCCCCGCUGGGCAUGGGACAGCCCCCGGUGGAAGAGGCUGAACAGCCUGGGACAUUGGCCCUAGAGUUCCUCGCUGCCAUGGAGCCUGAGCCCGCCCCGUCCCUGGCCCCGGAAGCAGCUGUUGAGGAAGAAGACGCUUGUCCCAGGGCCGCCGGGUUCAAGCCGCCCAGUCAAGGGCCAGGUGGUUACCGUGCAUUUUGCAGACGUCGUGAGAGAACAGCAUGUGGGAGCUGGUGUUCACCUUGAACAACUGUGACGUCAUCCAGGCCCUGGAUCUUAGUGUCUAACUCACGGACGUGGGGGAGACGGCCAUGGUCACUGCUGACUCCAUCUACUGCUAUAGCCCCCAGGGCAGGAGCCCAUACAUCCACCGCACGCGGCCCUGUGCCUGGAGGUGACCCCGAAGACGGCCGUGGACUGGCCUGACCUGGAGAUGCUCACAGGGCAGGAGCGCAUGGCCCUGGCCAACCGGAAGCAGGAGUGCGGCAGUGCCCACUACCAGUGGGCGGACUUCAUCCUGGCCGCCAACUCCUAUGACCUUGCCAUCAAGACCAUCACCUCCAGCGCCAAAGUGGACAUGACGUUCGAGGAGGAGGAGCAGCUCCUGUAGUUGAAGGUGAAGUGUCUGAACAACCUGGCGGCCUCGCAGCUGAAGCUCGACCACUACUGCGCAGCCCUGUGCUCCUGCAGCCUCGUUGGAGCACCAUCCAGACAAUAUCAAGGCUGUCCUCCACAGAGGCAAGAUACUGGCCCAGCAGGGUGAGUACAGUGAGGCCAUCUCCAUCCUGAGGGCAGCCCUGAAGCUGGAACCUUCCAACAAGACGAUCCACGCAGAACUCUUGAAGCUGGUGAAGAAGCACGCGGCACAGCGGAGCACGGAGACCGCCCUGUACUGGAAAAUGCUGGGCGACCCCAGCUGGCUGCCCGCCAAGUGCCCCGGCAAGGGUGCCUGGUCCAGCCCAUGGAAGUGGCUGUUUGGGGCGACUGCUGUUGCCUUGGGGGGUGUGGCGCUCUCUGUGGUCACUCCUGCCAGGAACU